RNAcentral lists this long non-coding RNA (7862 nucleotides) under Lactuca sativa (garden lettuce). RNAcentral describes it as "long non-coding RNA (LSAT_LNC008283)". The record is from RNAcentral. Lineage: Eukaryota; Viridiplantae; Streptophyta; Magnoliopsida; Asterales; Asteraceae.
GUUUCAAUUGGACAGAAACUUGGAAUCAUGCAACUUGGUUGCACGAUGAAUGAGAAAUUUCAUAUUUGGAAAUUAGACUAAUUCAUUGACAAAGUGUCAAGUGAAGGACUAGGAGAUCGAGUACACAAAGUUGCGUGUUGAUCAAGUCCACCAUAAGAGUAACAAAGAUAUUCGUCAUGAUUUACUAAAGGUUUAGUAAAUAUGAUUAUACUUACAAGAUUAAGUGUAAUUCUGAAUUGAUUGAAAAAGUUUAAAUCAAUAGCAGAACGAAUAAGAAGAAUCAAGUAGGCAGAAAGAUAAAAGUUUCUCCAUUCUAAGAAGAAGGGAGAGUACCUUUUAUGCUUUAUGAUAGGUCUUAAUGAUUAAGAACCAUAUCUCAAUUGAUCCUCUAAGUGAGUCUUAGUACAAUUGUAUGUCUAAGAAGAGGAAUCAAGAAUUGAAGAAAUGGUUAAAUCAAGAAGUCAAUCAUACUUCGUUCCAAAACAAGUCUUAGAGUUAAGAUUGUGACAUUGAGUGAUAAGUAUUAAGAAGGUUUAUAACAUUCAUCAAAUGUGGAAAGUUGUGAUGUCUUGGAUAAGACAAAGACCAACUAGGACCAAUUUAUGAAGUGUUUUGAUAAAAACUACACUAACUCUUGAAUAUUUGUUUGUCAAGAAAUGUUUAUUGACAAGAGAAUCUUAUAUGUCAAGGAGUCAGUGGGAGUCUUAAUGGUCUUGAAAGGUUUCAAGAACAAAUCAAAAUAAACCUUAUCGAUCAUCACUAGCACACGAGUUGAGGUUUACAACCUAUCGUGUUGACAUUAUUUUGUUUCUGUGCCAAUCCAAUCGAGUUAAUUAUGCAUGUGAGUUCUAUGAGUUCUCAUUUGGAACGCAUAAAAGGCAAAGCACCUUAAUCAAUGAAAGGUACAUUGAUAGGAAAGGGUGAGCUGCUUAACUACUUGGAAGACAUGGUGGGCAGCUGUGCUACCAUAAGGCAAGAAAUCAAGAUUAAGAAAGUUCGGUCCAUAUGAGUUUGAAUUUGUCGUAAACUUUGGUUUUAACAAAUUCACAUGGAUAGGAACACAUACACCGUUUAAAUCUAAGUGUCAUAAGAUUUCCUCCUUCAUGAAAAUGAUUGUGAGGAAAUGCUUUCACUAAGAAAGAUUUUAAGAAGAUAGUGAUUGUAAAAUUGCAUUCUCGAAUUCGAUUAUGGUUACGGUAUCCCUUUCCAUAAUUUGAAUUGUGAGGUUUGGCAAUUAGUCUUAAUUGUUUAGACACACAUAUGAACUAUCGAAGGCAAAGGUGUAUAAGUUCAAGAAGCCUUGAUAAAAGAUUAUCAAAGCACUAAGUAUUAGAAACAUGAACUUAAGAAAUUCAAUAAGUAUUGUUUUUCUGAAAGUUAAGAUGUUUAUGAAUACAUGUCGAAGCUAGUGGGAGCAUAAGUGUUAUGUUUUAUAAUAAUCAUCAUGAUAGUGGGAGCAUAAAUGUUAUGAUUGUAUGAUUAUUAAGGCACGUAUUGCAAGUUGGCAAUAUUAAUUAUAGAAAACAAGAGUUAUACCUUGCAAAGUCGUAAGGGUUGUAAAGUUGUUUUGCUAUAAUUAAGGGAGAGAAUAUUAUGCUUCAUUUCAAAUCUAAAGGAUUAGGUUGAGAAAUGUUAAUAAAUUUAGUCAAAGGUACAUAGUGUGUUCUUAAAAUUUCGAUUAUGAUUACGGCAUUCCUCUUCACAAUUCGAAUUUUGAGAACAUAGCAAAUAAAACAUUAUGCGUCGUGUCCCAUACGCUUCGGGUAUAGGAUCGAUUGCAAAUGCUUUAAUGUUUGACCAUUCUAAAAUUUUCCAAAUGUCGAGCGCAUUUAGAGGGAAAAGGGACUAGAAUUGGUUUUGACUAAAAUAAUUAAACAACUAUCAAAGGACAAUCCAAAGUUCGACGAGGAUUGGUCGCUUGUGAGUAGUUGGAAGUAUAGUAUUGGAAAAUAUGGAAAUGUUUCCAUAUUGGAUGGACCAUAUCGACAUCAUUACGAAUAGAUAAGAUUCUAUUAAGAAUGAGUUGUCAUAUGGAACAUAUGGAAGUGUGUCCAUAUUGGGAAUUGAAUAUUGAGAAAUCUAUGACUAGAUUAGAAACUUCUAUGCAAAAGGAUGUUCAAAGAAUGUACUUUGAGUGAGAGACAUCACGUCUAUGGAAUUGUCUUGUAACAAUCUCCGAUAGAGGACUUUGUAAUAUCAUUGGCAAUAGUCUUUGUGACUUUGGUGCAGUGACAUUACGAAAGGAUAGUUGCAUAGAAUGUUAGAAUCUAGCAUAUUCUAUAAGUAGCAAGAAUUUGAUAUUCUUUCACUUAUGAAAAAGGAUUUGGAGUUGUGAAAUGAGAAUGAUUGGAAAUGUGUUCAAUGUGAUCUAUUUCACAAAGUAAGAACCAUAGGUAAACAUUGUGUGCAUGCUAGGAGCAUGGGACAAGUGUUGUAAUUCAAGUAAGAAGUUGAUUACCCGAAACGACAAAUAAUGAGUAAUCAAUAUGGUGAUAAAUAAAAGGUGUUUUAUUUAUACUCAAAGGUUUGAGGCCAUAUGGGAUUAGUAUUAUUCUUGUGUUUCACAUUUGCAUGUUUUGACUUCCAGAAUAAUUGAGUUUAUUAAGAAUAAUCGAAUUAUUCAAACGGGCCACAGUCGUUCAUAUGUUGGAAGUAGAUAUGAAUGAAGACUGUCGUGAAUUGGUGUGUGGAUUGUCUAAAAGAGUAUUAGACAUAAGCAAAUGUUUGCUGCAACGUUCAUGAGUGCUUAUGAAUAUGAUUUGAGCAUUGGAUUAAACCCACGCUCACUUGGAUCACUCCAUGAAUUGUAUCACGAGUGAUUGGUGAGACGAUAACAUCUUAUAUUCUUGAAACCGAGAUGUGUGAGUUGUAUCUUGCAAAUCGGUUGCACAUUGAUAAUAUGUAAACGCACUAGUAACUUGGUGUUAUAAAACAUAUUGUUGUGUGUGAUUCGGUGAGUGAGUGCAAGCAAGCAUUGUAUCAAAGUUUAUCCGUUCCUUUUAUCCAAAGUAGGAUAAAAGCGAUAUCUUUGGGCCCCUCGAUGAUUUAGUGAUGACAAACGUAAAUGCUCGGCCGGGCUAGGGCUAAUUUGAUUUGUUCAAUUAGUCAGUCGUCAUAAAUCGGAAAUCGAGAUAUAGUACAAAGAGAAUGAUUUGAAAUCAUAUCUCAUAUGAUAUCUAGAAUGGAGGAAUAUAUGAUCCCUUAUCUAAGGACACGCGUAUCUGAUAUGAUCAGAGUUGACAGCGGCUUUGGAAAGCUACGAUUGCAGAUCGGGAUCCGAAGUCAUACGCAGAAUAGUUGUUAGACUUAUCCAAGUGGGAGACUGUUGGAUUAGUGUCUAAGUCCAUAACUAUUUUGGUAUGUACUUGACCCGAUGGUGCAUGGUCCUUUUGGGUUGCCUUCACCAAAGCAACUUGAUUGGAGAAAUAAAUAGAGAGAGAGGUUAUUAUGAUUUAUUAAUAUGUUAUAAGAAUAAUAUAUUAAAGGAGAAAUCAUAUUUGUUUAAUUAAUAUUGGUCAAUAAUUAAUUAAGAAUUAAUUUUGUGAUCAAGUGUAAUUAAUUAAACUAGAGGGGCUGAAUUGUAAUUAUGUGAUAGUUACAAAAUAAGGUAAGGAUUAUCUUAUAUAUAUGGUGAACGAAUUUGAGGUGUAAAUCCCUUAGAAUUCGACUAGGAUAAGGAUUUCUAGGACUUAUCUUAUGGUUGCUUGGUGGACAAGCAACUAGAUAAGGAUAAGGACUAAAACCCUAAUCUUUACACCUAUAUAAACCCCCUAAGGCUUAGGAAUUCGUCUAACCCUUCCCAAGAGGUCCUAAGGACGAAUUCUAACCUCCCUCCUCUCUCUUUAUACCUUCUCCACUUGCUUAUGGUGUUUGUAAGCCAUUAGAGGAGUGACACUUGUGACUCUCAGCUUUCCAAGGUCAAUUCAAGGAGGAAUUGGAUUGUUAUUGCUAUAUAACAAUCAAGGUAUGUUCUUAAACCUAAUUACAUGUGAAUUCUGAUUUCCAUAUGCUAGAAUUAGGGUUCAAAGUCUUGGAUUCAAAGUAUGUACAAUAGAGAAACCUAGAUCCAAGCUUUAGGGUUUGUAUGAGCACAUAGGAUGUCUUAUGACCAAAACCCAUCAGUGGUAUCAGAGCCAUGAUUGGUUUCUAUUGUAUUGAUGCUUGAUGUAACUGAAAAUCGUGUUUUGGCCUCACUGUUCGACCUGACUCGGCGAGUCAGUCCUACUCGGCGAGUUCCAGAGGGUGACUCGGCGAGUCGGUGCGUCAGAUAGUGCUUAUCUCGGGAUUUCUUGCUGUUUUUGCAUUGGGAUAAUUACCUUAUCAUGUUAGAUUAAUAUUAAUCCGAUUAUAUGAUAUAUUUGACUAUAUUUUUAAUCUAAUUGAAGAUAUUUAUCAAUUAAUAAGAUAAUUGUUUCCUUAUAAGAUAAUUGAUUAAUUAUUUUAAGUAAAUUGAUAAAUUAUUUUGCAAGAAAUCAUCAAAUAUGGAUAAUUAUGUGAUUAAAUGUUAAUUUGAAUUAUUUGUUAUUUGAUCCUUGUUGUUGUGAAAAGUUUCAUAUUUGGCCCUUUAGGUUUUAUAGUUUAAAUUUGAACCCCAAAAGUUUUGUUGUUUUGAAAUUUAAAUAGUUGAAACCCUAAUGUUUUGAAAAAGGUUUCAAAACUUGCCCUCAAGUUUUGGAAUUUAAAUUUUGAUUAAAUAGUUUAAUUUUGAUGCAUAUUUAAAUUCUAAACCCUAAUGUGUUGAAAUGUUUCAAAACUUGCCCUCAAGUUUUGGAAUUUAAAAGUUGAUUAAAAGUUUAAUUAGGAAUGUUAAAUUCUAAAACUCUAGUAUAGUUUUGAAAAAGUUCAAAUCACACCCUUAUGGUUUUAUUAAUUAAUUAAGGUGUAUAAUUAAAAGAGGUUUAAUAAAUCCAUAAAAGUUUAGGUUUACAAUUUAAUUGAAUUAAAAGUAUAAUUGUUAAAUUAGACCACCUAGUAUUUUAAAAGUAUAAAAUACACCCUAUACUAUAUAUAACAUUAAAAGUCUAACAUUAUAUAUAUGUAUGAGUAAAAGUCAGUCUUACCGUUAGUAGGCCUCAUUCACGAAGCUGGUCUAUAAGGGGUGUUUAAGGAAAUUGCCUAUAAAAUGGCGAUUGAAUGGGUAUCCACUCUUACCCACCGCACUCUUGACUAGUGGAGGGUCGUUAGCCGAACGGGUAGGAUAGGACGAAACCUUCCAUUAUAAGUAUAAUGAAUUAUUAAAGUAACUAAAUGUUUUCAUAAAAUUCCCAAUCUUAGUUACUUAGGCAAAAGUGAAUUGAUGCAAUUCCAUGAAAUUACACUUUGUGCCCUUGCGAAGACGUUAGUGGAGCGUGUGUGGUUAACCGGCACACUAAAUGGGUCUAAGCAAAGGUAGCAAAGGGUGACUCAAUGUUUGUCAUAGUUCGGUGGAGCGUGUGUGGUUUACCGGCACAUCGAAUAGGUGACUGUAACAUGUGAGGGCACCAUGUAAGUUUGCAUGGUUAUUCACACCCGCUUUGUGAUCCUCGGCAUCCCAGUCACAAACAAGAGGGGCAUAUCGAGAUUUAAACAUGCCAUUGAAAGUUCAAUGAAUCUCAAAGGAUCUAGGAGUUUUCAUAGAUUUAAAACUUAAAUUUCUUUUUCGUUUUUCAUGGUGGAAAUUAGUGAAUCGUCAUUCACUUACCUUCAAAUAUUCUGCAAUUAGGGUUACGGCAUCCCUCUCCCGAGUUGUAGAAUAUUGUGUUGGGUCCUAGCCUUAGUAUCUCAUUUGGGUGAUUUACUAAGGACUCAAUCAAUCAACUAACUUGAAUUCGUUUUCUCCCGUUUUGUAGAUGUCAAAGUUCGACAACUAUGGUCUUCCCAAAUCCCGUGGAACAAGCAUUCCACAUGAAGAUGAUAUUCCACGAUUCGAUCGAGGAACAAGAAAUCAUGCUUCACUUCCUCCUCCUCCUCCAAUUAUUCUCCCUAACCCACAAGUUCAAAGGCUUGAAAAGUUCAAGAUCACUCAAGCCCUUUUGGCAAGUAAACAUAAAGAAGGAAAGUCGGUGUGUGCACACGUCCUAGGGAUGAAGUCACACAUUGAUAGGUUAAGAAUGUUGGGAUCCGUUGUCUGUGAGGAAAUGGCUGUUGAUUGGGUUCUUCAGUCACUUCCUAACUCAUAUAGUGAGUUCGUAAGAGAGUACUAUAUGAUGAACCGCGACGUGACCCUUAUAGAUCUCACCUAUAUGCUUAUUGCUGCUGAAUCAGCAAUGGUUUGGCGCAAUAGAAAAGCAAAGUUGAUUGGUGAAUCUGCCUUCAAGACCUCUAUGGAUAUAGACAAUGGCAACGAAAGACAUGCUAUGAUCGAAAAGUUUGAUCAUAAGAGAAAGGCAAUGUCUGAAGUAGUUCCAUGUCAUGUUCCAAAAGAGUCAAUUUGCUUUUAUUGCCAAGAGAAAGGGCAUUGGAGACGAAGCUGCCCCAUUUACCUAAGAGAUCUAAGAGAUGGGAGAGUCGAAACGUAUGGCUCUAAUAUAGGUAAAAUCCAUUAACUAACUCUUUUAAGCUUCUAUUCUAGAUUCUUAAUACAUAAUGUGAUAAGAUUACAAUUGAUGUUUUGUAGGAUCGAAGAAAAGAAAGGAAGCUUAAGGGAAGAAGUGAGCAGAAUCUAACCGUGAAGGAAUGGAUUUCGAUCGCAUUUCUCGAAGAUUAGAUUCUUGAGCUACUACUUAGAGUUAGAAUUAGAUUGCUAAGAAAGAUGUAUUAGCAUAGUUUUUCAAUGAAUUGCAUUGUAAGGACAAAUUUUUCCGCAAUAAAAUAAAUUUUGAUUUUAUAUUAUUUAUUUAUCCUUGCAAUGGCGUGUAUGAAAAAAUUGAUGUUAGAAUGUUUCUAUUAUUAGCAAUAAUGGAUUUGUUUCUUAAUUAUGUUAUUUGUGGAAAUGUCGAAAAUUUACCAAAUAGGGAAAGUUUCUCAUCGCCCAAGUUUCAAUUGGACAGAAACUUAGAAUCAUGCAACUUGGUUGCACGAUGAAUGAGAAAUUUCAUAUUUGGAAAUUAGACUAAUUCAUUGACAAAGUGUCAAGUGAAGGACUAGCAGAUCGAGUACACAAAGUUGCGUGUUGAUCAAGUCCACCAUAAGAGUAACAAAGAUAUUCGUCAUGAUUUACUAAAGGUUUAGUAAAUAUGAUUAUACUUAUAAGAUUAAGUGUAAUUCUGAAUUGAUUGAAAAAGUUUAAAUCAAUAGCAGAACGAAUAAGAAGAAUCAAGUAGGCAGAAAUAUAAAAGUUUCUCCAUUCUAAGAAGAAGUGAGAGUACAUUUUAUGCUUUAUGAUAGGUCUUAAUGAUUAAGAACCGUAUCUCAAUUGAUCCUCUAAGUGAGUCUUAAUACAAUUGUAUGUCUAAGAAGAGGAAUCAAGAAUUGAAGAAAUGGUUAAAUCAAGAAGUCAAUCAUACUUCGUUCCAAAACAAGUCUUAGAGUUAAGAUUGUGACAUUGAGUGAUAAGUAUUAAGAAGGUUUAUAACAUUCAUCAAAUGUGGAAAGUUGUGAUAAAAGCUACACUAACUCUUGAAUAUUUGUCAAGAAAUGUUAUUCACAAGAGAAUCUUAUAUGUCGAAGAGUCAGUGGGAGUCUUAAUGGUCUUGAAAGGUUUCAAGAACAAAUCAAAAUAGACCUUAUCGAUCAUCACUAGCACACGAGUUGAGGUUCACAACCUAUCGUGUUUCUGUGCCGUUCCAAUUGAUUUAAUUAUGCAUAUGAGUUCUAAUUUGAAUGCACAAAAGGCAAACACCAUGAUCAAUGAAAAGUACAUUGAUAGGAAAAGGUGAGCUGCUUGACUACUUGGAAGACAUGGUGGGCAGCCGUGCUACCAUAAGGCAAGAAAUCAAGAUUAA